RNAcentral lists this ribosomal RNA (637 nucleotides) under Discogobio yunnanensis. Its description in RNAcentral is "partial 16S ribosomal RNA". It matches the Rfam family "Bacterial large subunit ribosomal RNA", at positions 1783 to 2625 of the family's 2925-position model. Lineage: Eukaryota; Metazoa; Chordata; Actinopteri; Cypriniformes; Cyprinidae. The record is from RNAcentral.
CUGCGUUCCCCCCUUUUUUUUUCAAACAUCGCCUCCUGCAACACAGCCAUGUAUAGGAGGUCCAGCCUGCCCAGUGACUACAAGUUCAACGGCCGCGGUAUUUUGACCGUGCAAAGGUAGCGCAAUCACUUGUCUUUUAAAUAGAGACCUGUAUGAAUGGCUAAACGAGGGCUUAACUGUCUCCCCUUUCAAGUCAGUGAAAUUGAUCUGCCCGUGCAGAAGCGGGCAUAAUAAUACAAGACGAGAAGACCCUUUGGAGCUUAAGGUACAAAACUCAACCACGUCAAGCAACUUAAUAAAAAGCAAGAACCUUGUGGAACAUGAAAUUUUACCUUCGGUUGGGGCGACCACGGAGGAAAAACAAGCCUCCUAGUGGACUGGGGUAAAUUUCCUAAAACCAAGAGAGACAUCUCUAAGCCACAGAACAUCUGACCAAACAUGAUCCGGCCACCAAGACCGAUCAACGAACCAAGUUACCCUAGGGAUAACAGCGCAAUCCUCUCCCAGAGUCCAUAUCGACGAGAGGGUUUACGACCUCGAUGUUGGAUCAGGACAUCCUAAUGGUGCAGCCGCUAUUAAGGGUUCGUUUGUUCAACGAUUAAAGUCCUACGUGAUCGUUUUCCAAAAACGGGGAGAA